This 445-nucleotide ribosomal RNA is filed under the name uncultured bacterium. RNAcentral describes it as "partial 16S ribosomal RNA". It matches the Rfam family "Bacterial small subunit ribosomal RNA", at positions 354 to 796 of the family's 1533-position model. The record is from RNAcentral.
GUAGGGAAUAUUGGGCAAUGGAUGCAAGUCUGACCCAGCCAUCCCGCGUGCCGGAAGAAGGCCCUCAGGGUUGUAAACGGCUUUUGAUGGUGAAGAAUCGACAGGAUGCGUCCUGUUUUGACGGUAGCCGUUGAAUAAGCACCGGCUAACUCCGUGCCAGCAGCCGCGGUAAUACGGAGGGUGCGAGCGUUGUCCGGAUUUAUUGGGUUUAAAGGGUGCGUAGGCUGGAAGGUCAGUCAGCGGUGAAAAGCUGUCGCUUAACGAUAGUCUUGCCGCAGAUACUUCCUUUCUUGGAUGAGGAGGAGGCCACUGGAACGGAUGGUGUAGCGGUGAAAUGCAUAGAUAUCAGCCAGAACACCGAUUGCGAAGGCAGGUGGCUGUACCUUAAUCGACGCUGAUGCACGAAAGCAUGGGGAGCAAACAGGAUUAGAUACCCCAGUAGUCC